RNA transcript from Trematomus bernacchii (emerald rockcod), 1604 nucleotides. It is a transcript of the gene named stonustoxin subunit alpha-like, with no coding region annotated. The transcript has 5 exons. NCBI's taxonomy places the organism in Eukaryota, Metazoa, Chordata, Actinopteri, Perciformes, Nototheniidae. The record is from RefSeq and is a predicted model, not a curated record.
AAUCUACACUGGAUUGGAUUUCUCACUUCGAUCAACGACAUCAGUGAUUGAUUAGUAUGUCUGAGCCAUUGACUUCACAUGUCUACGCCCCUCCCCUCAGCUGGUCAUAAAGUUGACUUCAGCGCCCCUUCCUCAUGACAUGUUGAGCUGGUUGAGCAAGGCUUAUUAAACUCAUUUAAAGACUGGUCUGAAUAAUUUCAGACAAUGUUUCAUAGUCGUUACAGACAUCCUGGAUACGUUUUACCAGCGUUACAUCAUUAGAAGAGAGAGAGACGGAGCUACACCACCACCAGCGUCAAUGCAGGAGCCUCCAAAGUUUGUGGUCAAUAUCGUUAAACCAAAGAAAUCUCUGCACAAGACCAGCAAGUUCCACCCUCCUCUCCCGUGACCACGCCUGCUCCUGAUGAUUUAUUGACAGAUGAACCUCAGACCAGAGCAGACCUCUUACAAUAUUACUGUCACCUGACCCUGGACCCCAACACGUUGUACAGAGAGAUGGUUCUGUCUGAGGGGGACAGAAAGGCGGUGCUCACAGAUUUGGUCCAGGAGUAUCCUGAACACCCGGACAGAUUCUCUCACCUCUAUCAGGUGCUGUGUAGGGAGGGUCUGUCUGGACGGUGUUACUGGGAGGUGGAGUUUCAGGGGUCUGUUGAAAUAGCAGUGGCCUACAGAGACCUAGGCAGAUCGGACUAUUAUUCAGAAUGUGCGUUUGGCUGCAACGACAAAUCCUGGAGUUUAGACAUAAACGGGAAUGAUAAAUGUUUCAGACACAAUGAUGAGGAGAAAGCAGUGCCAGAGCCUCAGUCCUCCAGAGUUGGCGUGUUCCUCGAUCACAAGGCUGGGAAUUUGACCUUCUAUUGUGUCUGUGAGUCAACGCUGCAGCUGCUGCACAGAGAAGAAACCACGUUCACAAAGCCGCUCUACCCCGGACUGUGGCUCAUAGACACCGCCCAGCUGUGUGAUCGGGAGUAGAAGUACAACCGAAAAGUGUCUCGUGGUGGACUGAGGAGGGACAUUGUGCCCUCAUGUUUGAAAAAGUGCUCUCUUGUAUGCUGGAUGAUAACGUGUCCUCUACGGUGGCCCAGUGUAGAAUAAAUUGUAUUAAAUAGGACCAAAGUGUCAGUGGCCUGCACCCCUAAAAUGUCUCUCAAAGAGACUUGUACCAAUUGAAAGAGUAUUAAAUGCAUUAUCCAGUGUUCUUAUCAGGGUAUGUUUACAUGAAUAAACACAUCACUUGGAUAUAUGAAAAACACUCUUUGGCAAAUUCCACCUCCAGAACCAAAAAGAGUGAUGUACAUAGCACCUUAUUUGUUUUUUUAGCCACAACUGAGUGAGAACAUGUGGGACCAUGUUCAGUUUUUCAAAUAUCUUUUUAUAUAAUGAAAAGAAAACAUGAACAUAUAAAUGGUACACACACAACAAUUACAAAUAAUUUAUAUGGAGUUUAUUACAACAUAAUUCGAUUCAGAUUUCCUGUAAAAGUAUCUGAAGAAAUACAUCCCUUCAUUUGUAUUUUUGGCACUUAUUUUCAAAGUAGCAGAGUGGUGAAUUAACAGACAUUGUUUUUUAAUGAGACAAUGGCACUAAGUGUUAAAUGUCUUGGA